This 253-nucleotide ribosomal RNA is filed under the name uncultured bacterium. Its description in RNAcentral is "partial 16S ribosomal RNA". It matches the Rfam family "Bacterial small subunit ribosomal RNA", at positions 524 to 776 of the family's 1533-position model. The record is from RNAcentral.
UACAGAGACUGCAAGCGUUGUUCGGAUUCAUUGGGCGUAAAGGGUCCGUAGGCGGUCGGUUAAGUCGGAUGUGAAAUCUCGUGGCCUAACCACGAGCGGUCAUUCGAAACUAAUCGGCUAGAGGGCUGGAGAGGAGACUGGAAUUGUCGGUGUAGCGGUGAAAUGCGUAGAGAUCGACAAGAACACCGGUGGCGAAGGCGGGUCUCUGGACAGUUCCUGACGCUGAGGGACGAAAGCUAGGGGAGCAAACGGG